AUAUUGUUUUAGAAAGUUGUUUACAAAUCUUUAGAGAAACUUUAGAUCUAGUUUAUAUAUAUAUUUUGGUGAGCUACAUUAACUAAACAGCAAAAUUCAAAUUCUUUGCCCGGAAGAUUUGAAAUAUAUUUCGAUAUUUUUUUUAACUCAUUUGAUCAAUAUGGGUGGCAAUUUUUUCGGAUUUCUAAAAGAGUUUCGAAGCUACAACAAGGAUUUGACACCUGUAGAAAGUGCGAAACAGGCAGGUUCCGUAUGGCGUCAAAUGUCAGACCAUCAAAAAUUACAAUAUACUUUUGAAAAAAGGGUCAGGAAAGUUCAGAAAUGCAGUCGAUGUGGUCAAAAGAUAAAAAAGAAGCGACGCGGACCAAAACAGAAGCGCAAAAUUUCUGCAACAAAAAAAAUUGACUAUAUUCCGAAGAGCAAAGCGACCAAAAAUCGGCAGAAACGCCGUCAAAAUUUCUAUUAAUAAUAUUUUAUGGAGGACUGGCUAAACAAAUUGGUGGCAUUAAAAAACUAAAAUUUCCAGUCCGUGACGCUAGCCACAAAUUAUUUGGCGUCUUAUUGUGAAAUCGUACUUUCAGUACGUAAAAGUAAUUUGCUGAAUUUUUAUUUUCUGUGCUAACAAAAAAAAAUCUAAUCCAUUGUGUAUUGUGAAAAAUUCAUUCACAUUUGCCUCUGCCUGUAUCCGAUAACAUUCUGUCCACUCCCGUCCAAGCCGAAAAUCCUCCAUUUAUGGUAAAAGAUGGUCCUAUAGAUUCUACAUAUGUGUUACUUUGACUUACACCCGAAGAGUUUAUUUUAUUAAAUUAUAGAAGAUACCCAACGAAAGAAAUUCUAAUUGCAUUAUGUAUAAUAUACAAUAUAUUGUGAAUAUUGUCCACCGUUUUAAGUGAAAAAAUUCCACAAAAAAAAAAUGAAGGUUAAUUUGAUUCAAAUCAUUGUAAAAUAAACAAUGAUGCCCCCACAAAUAAAAACAAUUAAAUUCUACUAAUGAAGAUCCUUCUAAUAUUUUAGUAUGCAUAUAGUAUACAUAUAAGUACAUGAAAAAUAUCAUACUGAAAAAUUUAAAACUAAAUUUAUAUGAAACAAAAUUUAGAAAGAAAACGAAAAUUGGAGCUUACAAAACAAUUUACAGUAAACAAACUCAAAAAUUUUGAGUAAAUGUAUUUAUUAAAUU
Long non-coding RNA from Teleopsis dalmanni, 1177 nucleotides. RefSeq lists it as uncharacterized. The transcript has 9 exons. NCBI's taxonomy places the organism in Eukaryota, Metazoa, Arthropoda, Insecta, Diptera, Diopsidae. The record is from RefSeq and is a predicted model, not a curated record.